UGUCUAGUGGCGAAAGGGUGAGUAACACGUGAGCAACCUGCCCCCGAGUCUGGAAUAAGCGAUGGAAACGUCGUCUAAUACCGGAUGAGGACUGGGGUCUCCUGACUCCAACUCCAAAGAUUUAUCGCUUGGGGAUGGGCUCGCGUCCCAUUAGCUAGUUGGCGGGGUAAUGGCCCACCAAGGCUGUGACGGGUAGGUGGACUGAGAGGUUGGUCACCCACACUGGGACUGAGACACUGCCCAGACUCCUACGGGAGGCUGCAGUCGAGAAUCUUCCGCAAUGGGCGCAAGCUGACGGAGCGAUGCCGCGUGAGGGAAGAAGGCCUUCGGGUUGUAAACCUCUGUCACCCGGGACGAAAACAAUGACGGUACCGGGAGAGGAAGUCACGGCUAACUACGUGCCAGCAGCCGCGGUAACACGGGGGUUGCGAGCGUUGUCCGGAAUUACUAGGCGUAAAGGGCAGGUAGGCGGAUCUACGAGUUUUUUGUUAAAGGCUACGGCUCAACUGUAGUAGAGCAGGAGAUACUGUAGGUCUGGAAUGCGGUAGGGGGAGACAGAAUUCCUGGUGUAGCGGUGGAAUGCGCAGAGAUCAGGAGGAAUACCGAAGGCGAAGGCAGUCUUCUAAGCCGAUAUUGACGCUAAACUGCGAAGGUGUGGGGAUCAAACAGGAUUAGAUACCCUGGUAGUCCACACAGUAAACGAUAAUCACUAGGUGUUGGGUUCUUAAGAGGAUUCAGUGCCGGAGCUAACGCGAUAAGUGAUUCGCCUGGGGAGUACGAUCGCAAGGUUGAAACUCAAAGGAAUUGACGGGGGCCCGCACAAGCGGUGGAGCAUGUGGUUUAAUUCGAGGCAACGCGAAGAACCUUACCCGGUUUUGACAUCCACGGGAGGCUUCAGAGAUGGAGCUGUGCCGGCGUAAGCUGGAGCCGUGAGACAGGUGCUGCAUGGCUGUCGUCAGCUCGUGUCGUGAGAUGUUGGGUUAAGUCCCGCAACGAGCGCAACCCUUGCCUUCAGUUACCAUCAUUAAGUUGGGGACUCUGGAGGGACCGCUGCGGUAACAACGCAGAGGAAGAUGGGGACGACGUCAAGUCAUCAUGGUCCUUAUGGCCGGGGCUACACACGUGCUACAAUGGCAGUUACAGAGGGAAGCGAUUCAGUAAUGAGGAGCGAAACUCAGAAAAGCUGCCGCAGUUCGGAUUGAGGUCUGCAACUCGGCCUCAUGAAGUCGGAAUCGCUAGUAAUCGCGCAACAUCAUGGCGCGGUGAAUACGUUCCCGGGCC
Molecule: ribosomal RNA, 1281 nt
Filed under: uncultured bacterium
Lineage: Bacteria
Description: bacterial SSU rRNA
Rfam family: Bacterial small subunit ribosomal RNA
Source: RNAcentral